GACGAACGCUGGCGGCGUGCUUAACACAUGCAAGUCGAACGGAAAGGCCCUUCGGGUACUCGAGUGGCGAACGGGUGAGUAACACGUGGGUGAUCUGCCCUGCACUUUGGGAUAAGCCUGGGAAACUGGGUCUAACACCGAAUAGGACUACGCUCUUCAUGGGGUGUGGUGGAAAGCUUUUGCGGUGUGGGAUGGGCCCGCGGCCUAUCAGCUUGUUGGUGGGGUAAUGGCCUACCAAGGCGACGACGGGUAGCCGGCCUGAGAGGGUGACCGGCCACACUGGGACUGAGAUACGGCCCAGACUCCUACGGGAGGCAGCAGUGGGGAAUAUUGCACAAUGGGCGCAAGCCUGAUGCAGCGACGCCGCGUGAGGGAUGACGGCCUCGGUUG
RNAcentral lists this ribosomal RNA (390 nucleotides) under uncultured bacterium. Its description in RNAcentral is "bacterial SSU rRNA". It matches the Rfam family "Bacterial small subunit ribosomal RNA", at positions 28 to 425 of the family's 1533-position model. The record is from RNAcentral.